This 1241-nucleotide long non-coding RNA is filed under the name Homo sapiens (human). RNAcentral describes it as "STARD13 antisense RNA". Lineage: Eukaryota; Metazoa; Chordata; Mammalia; Primates; Hominidae. The record is from RNAcentral.
CCCCAGGUGCCCCGGGAAAACUUGGGGGAGAAUGGGCAUCCCACCCCAGCACUUUCUAGGAAGAAGGGCAGCAUUUUGAAGGGCUGGAAGUAGAGGAAGGAGGUUGCGGGUAGAAGACUCCAUACUUUCUGUGACGCCUAUUCCUUAGUCAGAGGCAUGGCUUGCCUGGGCCUCUGGGUGCAGCUGCACAGAUUCAAGCAGCCUGAAGGAAAGGUGACUGACAGCUAAUGAUCUGAAAAGAACUUGUCUCAACUCAACGUCAUUCCUGGCAUUAUCGAACAAAGCAAUAAACCUCACAGAAUGGAAGCUACAGUGUCCAGGGCCAGCUCUGCUAAGGUAACCAAAGACAGAGAAGGAGGCAAAAGUGACAGAAGAAACUCAUGGGAAACCAACAGAAAUAUAAUGGCUUUGGCAGAAAUGCAAUUAUCAAUUGGGAGCUUGUGAUGAAUGUUUUCUCAGUAUCCUAUGCUGAAAACAGGUAGAUACUAAUAUCGAUCUUCAAGGGAGGGCUGUUGAGUAUUGAAUAAGACAAAAACAUGGAAGCAAUCAGCACCAUGCUGGAGAGCCUUUAUAUAACCAAAGAUAUUUUUGGACCAUGAAUUCAGAAAUUCUCGGAGCCACCCAUCAGUGCCUGAGCUUCAGUGAGUCCAUAUCCCAUGUCACCCACGGCAAAGGAGACUCUAAGACUUCUGAAGAGUUUCUUGCUUCUUUCCUGUGGGGCAGUGACUCCACUUCCCAGCAGUAAUGGAAUAUCCUGAAUUAGCUACAUUAAUGUUAGAACCAUUUGGACCUCACCCAGGACUUCAACUACAUUAUGAGUAACUCCUGGACGAUUGGCACAGAAGAAGGCACAAGGCAAAUACCCAUCUCUGUACACCCUGUGCUACUGUGUCAUGUGCUGCUCCAGGCAACUCCAAUGGAUUGGCCACCCUGGCCAAUGUGUUCUAGUAUGUUACGUUUAUGUUCCCCUGCUUUCUACAAUCCUGUUCAAAGAGUUGCUGACUUAACCACAGAGAGGAUUCCAGAACCUGAGACACAGAAUAAACUUGAGCAAUCAUAGUCCAUCCACUUCAUUGUCUCAUCAAAAACCAAAGGUCCAGUGAAGCUCUGGAACUCAACGCUGUAAAGGAGCGAAGGAGCUUCUAUACAGAGCCUGGAUGCCUGUCUCCUUAUCCUACUUCAGUGGACUUGACUGCAAUCCGGAUUAUGCUGUUUUCUAAGCAUUUAAAAUAAAAUAAAAA